Long non-coding RNA from Solea senegalensis (Senegalese sole), 70 nucleotides. RefSeq lists it as uncharacterized. NCBI's taxonomy places the organism in Eukaryota, Metazoa, Chordata, Actinopteri, Pleuronectiformes, Soleidae. The transcript has 3 exons. The record is from RefSeq and is a predicted model, not a curated record.
UCAUUUUAAAAUGAAUUUGAUGAAUGAUGUUCCUCAUGGUUAACAUGAAGUAGUGAAUGUUGCUCCUCAU